Saimiri boliviensis boliviensis (Bolivian squirrel monkey) is the source of this 282-nucleotide unclassified non-coding RNA. It matches the Rfam family "Metazoan signal recognition particle RNA". Rfam says of the family: The signal recognition particle (SRP) is a universally conserved ribonucleoprotein. It is involved in the co-translational targeting of proteins to membranes. The eukaryotic SRP consists of a 300-nucleotide 7S RNA and six proteins: SRPs 72, 68, 54, 19, 14, and 9. The record is from Ensembl. Lineage: Eukaryota; Metazoa; Chordata; Mammalia; Primates; Cebidae.
CCAGGAGGAAGGGGGAACUGUUAGCAGUGUAGGAUUGAGGAGUUAGAAGAGACCUUUAGAACAGCUGAUCAUUAUGCUGACUGGGUGUCCACACCAAGUUUGCCAUCAAUAUGGUGACCUCCUGGGAGCAGGGGACCACCAGGUUGCCUAAGGAGGGUGAACUGCCUCAGGUCAGAAGUGGAGCAGGUGAGAACUUUUGUGCUGUUGGUAGUGAGACUGUACCUGGGCAACAUAGCAAGACCUUGGCUUUUUAAAAAAUAAAAAUAAUAGCUGCUUAUUCUC